Molecule: ribosomal RNA, 332 nt
Filed under: uncultured bacterium
Lineage: Bacteria
Description: bacterial SSU rRNA
Rfam family: Bacterial small subunit ribosomal RNA
Source: RNAcentral
CGUGUAGGCGGUUGGUCAAGUCCGGUGUGAAAGCCCGAGGCUCAGCUUCGGAAGUGCAUCGGAAACUAGCCGACUGGAGCGCGAUAGAGGAGGGUGGAAUUCCUGGUGUAGCGGUGAAAUGCGUAGAUACCAGGAGGAACACCGGCGGCGAAGGCGGCCCUCUGGAUCGUUGCUGACGCUGAGACGCGAAAGCGUGGGGAGCAAACAGGAUUAGAUACCCUGGUAGUCCACGCUGUAAACUAUGGGUACUAGGUGUUCGGGGUAUUGACCCCCUGAGUGCCGCAGUUAACGCAUUAAGUACCCCGCCUGGGGACUACGGCCGCAAGGUUAAA